GGUGAACGCUGGCGGCGUGCCUAAUACAUGCAAGUCGAGCGAACGGACGAGAAGCUUGCUUCUCUGAUGUUAGCGGCGGACGGGUGAGUAACACGUGGAUAACCUACCUAUAAGACUGGGAUAACUUCGGGAAACCGUAGCUAAUACCGGAUAAUAUUUUGAACCGCAUGGUUCAAAAGUGAAAGACGGUCUUGCUGUCACUUAUAGAUGGAUCCGCGCCGCAUUAGCUAGUUGGUAAGGUAACGGCUUACCAAGGCAACGAUGCAUAGCCGACCUGAGAGGGUGAUCGGCCACACUGGAACUGAGACACGGUCCAGACUCCUACGGGAGGCAGCAGUAGGGAAUCUUCCGCAAUGGGCGAAAGCCUGACGGAGCAACGCCGCGUGAGUGAUGAAGGUCUUCGGAUCGUAAAACUCUGUUAUUAGGGAAGAACAUAUGUGUAAGUAACUGUGCACAUCUUGACGGUACCUAAUCAGAAAGCCACGGCUAACUACGUG
This 497-nucleotide ribosomal RNA is filed under the name uncultured bacterium. RNAcentral's name for it is "partial 16S ribosomal RNA". It matches the Rfam family "Bacterial small subunit ribosomal RNA", at positions 28 to 507 of the family's 1533-position model. The record is from RNAcentral.